UCUCUCCGGCGAGGGAGUUGUACUGCGCCGCCGCUGCACCGCACCUCGUCAGUCGACUCCGGGAAACUGCUCCCGAGCCCCAGCGCCAAGGCCUACCGGAGCGCCUCCGGUGAGGUCGUGACGAGCUCAGGGUUCGUUUGGUGGUAAGCUCUGUGCUCCCGGGGCGCGCGGGGCUGGAUCUGGAGCGGGGUUUCGCAGCGCAGCGGGGAGGAGCCAGUACGGGUGGGGGAUGGGGAGGCUGACCGUCGCCGCGGCAGUGGCCGCAUGGGCGAUCCCGCUCGCUGCUCUGGUCGCCUCCAUCGUGCCCGACCCUUACAUGGAUGAGAUCUUCCAUGUUCCCCAGGUGCAGCGCUAUUGCCGUGGAGAUUUCUUAAUAUGGGAUCCCAUGAUCACCACCCCUCCUGGCCUGUACUACAUUUCACUAGCAUAUGUUGCUUCCUUGUUUCCUGGUGCAUGGGUGACUAGAAUAGCAGAGGCAUUUGAUGCCCUUUGCACUACAGCACUUCUGAGAUCCACUAAUGUUAUCAUGGCGAUGAUCUGUGGUGUUCUAGUCCAUGACCUGCUUUUGUGCAUCAGGCCAAAAAUUGGCAAGAGGAAGGCAACUGCAUUUGCUAUUUUAGUAGCUUUGUACCCUAUUCAUUGGUUCUUUACUUUCCUUUAUUAUACUGAUGUUGCAUCAUUAGCGGCAGUUCUUGCGAUGUACCUUUUCUGCUUGAAGAAACAAUUUUGGGUCAGUGCAGCGUUUGGUGCUUUUUCUAUACUUCUCCGGCAGACUAAUGUAAUAUGGAUGAUAUUUUUUGCUGCCAAUGGAGCCAUCGCUCAUGCACAAUAUCUUUAUGUCAAGGACAAUGUUUGUUACGAGAACAGUGAACUAACAGAUAAGUCAAACAAAGAGGCAUCUCACAUGGAUAAUAAAACCACUGCUCCAGGUUUGAGAAGGCGGCGAAACAAUAAUCCCAUAAACAAGAGAGAAGUUGUUUCUGAAUCAAACAUUAUGUAUUCCAGUUUUACAGAGGAAAUAUGGGAUGCCAUCUUCAAGUUAUGGAAUUCAAAGUGUGAAGUUUUAAUUGCUUUUAUACCAUUUGCAAUGGUUCUUUUGGUGUUUGUGGCAUUCAUAGUCUGGAAUGGUGGCAUAGUGCUAGGUGCUAAGGAAGCUCAUGUUGUUUCACCACACUUUGCACAGUUUUUGUACUUUGGUCUAGUGUCAGCUGCUGCCCUCCUGCCAUGGCAUUUUACUCCUACCCGAGCAUCAGACCUAUUCCACUGGUGCAGAAAGAACAAAACAUAUAGUUCUUUUGCAAUUUUGGUGGCUCUUGGUUUAAGCCUUGUUGCUGUACAUUUAUUCAGCAUUGCUCAUCCAUAUCUUCUUGCUGACAAUAGACACUACACCUUUUAUAUUUGGAGGAAGGUUAUCCAAGUUCACUGGAUGAUGAAAUACAUUUUGACUCCAGUUUAUGUGUACUCAUGGUUUUCAAUUGUUAAUAUCUUAGGGAAGUCACAGACAAGACUUUGGGUGCUGUCCUUUGUUCUAUCAGUUGCCCUUGCUCUCAUCCCUGCCCCAUUGGUUGAAUUUAGAUACUAUACAAUUCCAUUGGUCAUACUGGUUCUUCAUUCUCCAGUGAUCAGCAAUGUUAAAUUGCUUGCUUUGGGGUUUCUUUAUGCCGCUGUUGACUUCUUCACUCUGGCAAUGUUUCUGUUCAGACCUUUCCAGUGGCAACAUGAGCCUGGGACACAAAGGUUUAUUUGGUAGUUUAGGAUACAGAAUUAGAGAGGAGGCAAAUUCCGGUGUACAAAUUCCCUAGAGCAUGAACCGCUAGCAGGGUUUAUAUAUAUGAGGGUGAAUCCCUCGGAGAAAUUUUAGACUUGAGAGCUUUGUCUGUACACUAGGAUGUCUUGCGAAGCUUUAUGCAAUUGAACGUUUAAGCCAGAUGGUUCCUUCAGGAGCAAACUAAAAUAUUCAGAGGAAUGAAUGGAUGGAAGAGCUUGUUGGAUGAAGGAAGAAUCUGGCGUCCAAUGCGGCUGUGUUUAGUUUCUGAAAUUGGGGAGAAGUUUGGGGAAAGUUGGUAGUUUGGAAAAAAAGUUGGGAGUUUAUAUAAGUAGGAAAGUUUCGGAUGUGAUGUGAUGUGAUGGAAAGUUAGGAGUUUGGGGGAAGUUUUGUGUCAACUAAACAGGGGAAUUUGUUAAAUCCAGAACUGAGAACAGCCUUUUAUUGUCAGGGAUAGUCAGCAAUGUAAGACAGUGCCAUCAACUUUCGGCGAAUAGGUCCACAGGUGAGAUCCUCAUCACUGUUGGAAAUCCUGGUUGUUAUUAUGCCUUGACUCAUCCCUGAUUUUUUUUUUGGCACUAGAGCAAUUUCCUUCAAUUGGCCAGUUUUUCAAGCAUGCAUGAGAAUGCCUAUUCAUGGACUGUGUGAAGCCGUGUUAGGGAAACUGAACUGGGAAUGCCUGUCCAGGCUUCAUCCAAUAUAUAGAACGUGAUAGAUUUGUCAAACUUUGUACGAAAAUAGUUUGGGUGCAGCAUAAAAAAUGCUUAUGCACUACAAAAAUGCGGUAUAUCUCUCAAUACAUCUUCAAGGACUGUAAAAGGUUGAAAAUAAUGUUUUUAAAAAAUCACAAUUAAUGCACAUCCAUUGCCUUAAGAUCUGGUUACAGCACACGAAUACAACAUAGCAUCCCAAAAGCCAUAAUUACACUUAAAAACACCUCACAUCAUGAGCAACACUGAACAUGACAAAAAGAUCAGCUGUACCACUAGGAGGACCAGCAAAAUAUACACAAGAACGGAAAGCUGUAUCAAGAACUGUUGAGUGUUGAAAGGCUUCAAAACAAGACCAUUCACACUUCCUUGAGACACAAAUUACUGAAAGCUUGGAUAGAGCAAAAAGGCUAUAUGGGGAAAACUUCGAUUCACAUGUCGGUGUACAUCAUAUUGAUCUUUUAAACAUGCAAGUCCAUGUACAGCGCAUAUAAUAAUCCUGCAACCAUGUAUAGAUUUUAGUUGUCCCGAUUCGCAAAACUGAACUUGUUUUUGUGGAUCUUUGCUGGACACUGGUGAGUUCACCAAAUGCUCUCUCGAGUAAAAGCAGAAGCUAGGAUCAGAUGGUUUACAGAGCCAUUUCUGCUCUGCGUUGGGUUUUUG
This is an RNA transcript of Oryza sativa Japonica Group (Japanese rice), 3138 nucleotides long. It is a transcript of the gene named dol-P-Glc:Glc(2)Man(9)GlcNAc(2)-PP-Dol alpha-1,2-glucosyltransferase, with no coding region annotated. The record is from RefSeq and is a predicted model, not a curated record. NCBI's taxonomy places the organism in Eukaryota, Viridiplantae, Streptophyta, Magnoliopsida, Poales, Poaceae.